UAACGGACUGAGCCACCCAGGUGUCCCUCCCCUGUGCUGACUUCUAACUGCGUCAUGUCUUCACACGCGGCCCGCCUCUGCAGCCUUUGCUACUACCACCGCCGCUGCUGUGGGAGGGACCUGUGCUGAGCCCCUCUACACACACGGCACCGUGCGCAUUUCAGCCCUGGAUCUCUAUCCCCUCUCGCGGAGGCCGCCUGCUGCCCGCGCCCCCGGCCCUCACCCUGGCUCCGGCAUCUGCCCGCUGGGACCCACCGUGUCACGCCCACACGCCACGGAACAAAGGGCUCGCACACGUGGCAGAGCGGCACGUGCUGCCACGUGCUUCCUCUAGAGGCCCCCCCCUCCCCCCACCGCUCUCUCCCCUCCUCAAAGGGGCGAUUCCAAGUGUCCCCCUCACUGGCCGCUUCCCGACGCCCACCGCCCCCCUCCCCGCACACUUCCCGCCUCCUGUUGCGGGGCAACCGUGACAUCAUUUACCCUAAGCAACUUCAGAAGACAAGUGGGGGAGGGGAACAGCUACCUGUUACAAAUGACAAAUGGAUUAAUAACAUCCUUAACUUUCUAAAAAUCCCAUACGAUCGGAAAACCCUCCAAUUACCCAAUACGAAAUGGACAAAGUUAACAGUAUCCAAAAAAGAAACUACAAAUGGUUGAUAAACAUCUGGGAAAAGACUGAACUCCAUUUCUGAUGAAAUAAAUGAAGACCACAUGGCAUUUGUUUCAAGAUGGAGGUACCAUAAAAUCAACAAAUUUGACAAACCAUUCGAAUUCCAAAGGGCUUGGGCCGUUCCAAUUCAAGAAAUAAAGAAUUCCUAUACAAUAUGGAGAUAAUACUCCGCUAUAAACCAAAUGCAUUCUACGAUGUGUCUAUCUAUUCCACAGACCUUCUUGAUGAAAAAGCUACUUUCAGAGAAGCUGCUCACACAAAACGUGGGGAAAGAAAGCACGUCAACUACGUGCUGCUCAUUCUGGUGGAAGACAGAUAAAAUGUCCUAAUUUAUUCGUCCA
Long non-coding RNA from Felis catus (domestic cat), 1011 nucleotides. RefSeq lists it as uncharacterized. The record is from RefSeq and is a predicted model, not a curated record. The transcript is spliced from 2 exons. Lineage: Eukaryota; Metazoa; Chordata; Mammalia; Carnivora; Felidae.